Molecule: ribosomal RNA, 529 nt
Filed under: uncultured soil eukaryote
Lineage: Eukaryota
Description: eukaryotic LSU rRNA
Rfam family: Eukaryotic large subunit ribosomal RNA
Source: RNAcentral
UGUUUGGGAAUGCAGCUCUAAAUGGGUGGUAAGUUUCAUCUAAAGCUAAAUAAUGGCGAGAGACCGAUAGCGAACAAGUACCGUGAGGGAAAGAUGAAAAGAACUUUGAAAAGAGAGUUAAAAGUACUUGAAAUUGCUAAGAGGGAAGCGCUGUCAACCAGUGAUAUGCGUCAUUCAUCGCUUUCAGCCCCACUAGCUGUCGUGAGUAGUAUUUAAAUCUGCUUGCGGCCGCGAAAGGGAGGUUGGGAGUUUAGGAUGGCGUGUCAGUCAAGAUCCAUUCGAUGAGUGGAAGAAGGGAGUGGGGAAGGUAGGACACUUGUGUCUGUUAUAGCCCCAUUUCUCUACCUCGCGUUGGAUGGAGGAAGGAAUAGUGCGCCGCUUGCGGCUUGGUCCUGCGUCUCUAUUGCUCUAUUUGCUCUCAUAGCAAUGCUAUGUUGGUGGAAAAAAGUAAUACUGGGCGUAGUGAUUCUAUGUGCCAUCACGAUCUUGUACGAAAUGGUUUUUAUCGACCCGUCUUGAAACACGGACC